UACGGAGGGGGCUAGCGUUGUUCGGAAUUACUGGGCGUAAAGCGCACGUAGGCGGAUCGCUCAGUCAGGGGUGAAAUCCCAGGGCUCAACCCUGGAACUGCCUUUGAUACUGUCGAUCUGGAGUAUGGAAGAGGUGAGUGGAAUUCCGAGUGUAGAGGUGAAAUUCGUAGAUAUUCGGAGGAACACCAGUGGCGAAGGCGGCUCACUGGUCCAUUACUGACGCUGAGGUGCGAAAGCGUGGGGAGCAAACAGG
Molecule: ribosomal RNA, 253 nt
Filed under: uncultured bacterium
Lineage: Bacteria
Description: partial 16S ribosomal RNA
Rfam family: Bacterial small subunit ribosomal RNA
Source: RNAcentral